Molecule: non-coding RNA, 282 nt
Organism: Thamnophis sirtalis
Lineage: Eukaryota; Metazoa; Chordata; Lepidosauria; Squamata; Natricidae
Source: RefSeq, a predicted model, not a curated record
CUAUAUGUAGAAUUGGAUCGGUGCUUAGAAAGCAAUGGAGGAUGCCACCAAAAUGCAACAUGUAUUAAAACAGGGCCAGGUUUGGUUGCCUGUGCCUGCCUUCCUAGCUUCACUGGUGAUGGGAUUAAUAAGUGUGAAUAUACUCACCCUUGCUUGGAGAAUAACGGUGGCUGCAGUCCACUAGCACUGUGCCUUAGAAAAGAAAAUGGGGAUCGAAUAUGCCUUUGUAUAUUGGGGACUGGUGAUGGCUUCACAUGUCGUAGAACUGUGUGGCAGGUAAGA